AGUGAGCGCUGGCGGUAGGCCUAACACAUGCAAGUCGAACGGCAGCACAGUAAGAGCUUGCUCUUACGGGUGGCGAGUGGCGGACGGGUGAGGAAUACAUCGGAAUCUACUUUUUCGUGGGGGAUAACGUAGGGAAACUUACGCUAAUACCGCAUACGACCUACGGGUGAAAGCAGGGGAUCUUCGGACCUUGCGCGAUUGAAUGAGCCGAUGUCGGAUUAGCUAGUUGGCGGGGUAAAGGCCCACCAAGGCGACGAUCCGUAGCUGGUCUGAGAGGAUGAUCAGCCACACUGGAACUGAGACACGGUCCAGACUCCUACGGGAGGCAGCAGUGGGGAAUAUUGGACAAUGGGCGCAAGCCUGAUCCAGCCAUACCGCGUGGGUGAAGAAGGCCUUCGGGUUGUAAAGCCCUUUUGUUGGGAAAGAAAAGCAGCAGGUUAAUACCCCGCUGUUCUGACGGUACCCAAAGAAUAAGCACCGGCCAACUUCGUG
This 492-nucleotide ribosomal RNA is filed under the name uncultured bacterium. RNAcentral describes it as "partial 16S ribosomal RNA". It matches the Rfam family "Bacterial small subunit ribosomal RNA", at positions 29 to 507 of the family's 1533-position model. The record is from RNAcentral.